AUGCCAGGCAACGACCAAAGCUUCGACGUCGACGCCUACCCGCGUUACAUCUUCGGCGAGGAGAACAAGCCGGAGCAGGUCGGGGAGCAAGAGCUUCAUCGGCCGGUGCAGGCACCAUGGCCCAUCGAUAGCGAUAUCGGCGUCAUCGUCCUUGGGAGCACAAUCGACAUAUUGGAGAGGAGGUGUGAUGAGCAGUUUGCCAUCCACCAUGCAAAAGAUCCAGAGCUGCUCGGCGGCAUGAUCGACGACCCACCCGAAGAACCACCGUCACUAGUGCUCAUCGAGAGCUUGAUGCCCCGCAAUGAAUGGGCAGAGGACCUCUGCGAUUCAGUCAAGACAAAGGCAGCAUGCAGCUUCAUCAUUGCCCGCGGCGGCCAUGUCAACCUUGAUCUCGAUGAUGUGGUGGCUAGGCUCGAGCGCAUCCUUGGUGGAGUUGACGUCCCCGACGAAGUAGAACAUCGCCAACGUGAUAUGUUGAGGAUGCAGUUGAUCGACGAAAUUUGCUACCAGGCCUAA
Molecule: ribosomal RNA, 516 nt
Filed under: Triticum aestivum (bread wheat)
Lineage: Eukaryota; Viridiplantae; Streptophyta; Magnoliopsida; Poales; Poaceae
Description: partial small subunit ribosomal RNA
Source: RNAcentral